This 460-nucleotide ribosomal RNA is filed under the name uncultured bacterium. RNAcentral describes it as "partial 16S ribosomal RNA". It matches the Rfam family "Bacterial small subunit ribosomal RNA", at positions 338 to 795 of the family's 1533-position model. The record is from RNAcentral.
CCUACGGGAGGCUGCAGUGAGGAAUAUUGGUCAAUGGGCGGAAGUCUGAACCAGCCAAGUAGCGUGCAGGAUGACGGCCCUACGGGUUGUAAACUGCUUUUAUACGGGAAUAACGUGCCUUACGUGUAGGUUUUUGCAUGUACCGCAUGAAUAAGGACCGGCUAAUUCCGUGCCAGCAGCCGCGGUAAUACGGAAGGUCCGGGCGUUAUCCGGAUUUAUUGGGUUUAAAGGGAGCGUAGGCCGCAUGUCAAGCGUGCUGUGAAAUGCCCGGGCUCAACCCGGGCCUUGCAGCGCGAACUGGCGGGCUUGAGUGCGCGGAAGGCAGGCGGAAUUCGUGGUGUAGCGGUGAAAUGCUUAGAUAUGACGAAGAACCCCGAUUGCGAAGGCAGCUUGCUGCAGCGGAACUGACGCUGAUGCUCGAAGGCGCGGGUAUCGAACAGGAUUAGAUACCCCAGUAGUC